AGGGCUAAAUAACACCAAUUCAUAUGAAUGUUUUUUGUAACAGAGUAGGCUUUACCCCUAGGUAAAAGAUUAUUGAACCAAUAAUGAUAUCAUCAUCACCUGACCAAUGGAUUAGCUACAUUAACAAUGGUUUGAGCCAUUUCUAUCCUUUACUCGCCACAGAAUAAAACUCCUUGCAGAGUACAUGGUAUAAUAAAGACAAACUGAGCGUCAGGAGCCGGGAAAGAGGCUUUGUGAGUCAUGAUGAUCAACUGCUACCACAAGCAGAAUCAUAGGUCAAAAGAAACAGCAGACGAGCCUCGCGGAAAAUGACACGGCUGACAACGCUCUUUCAGGAAAUCGUCCAUUCCAAUUAUGAGGUGGUUGGGGUGGGGCGCGUGGACACAUUUCCAUGUUAUUUUCAACAUCCCACUGGUAUUAUUUCCCCAAAACCCUGACAGCAAACACCCAAGAGGCUCAGAGUUGCUUUUCCGAUCCGUCCACAGCACGAGAAAUCCCUCCGCCCUGAGCGACACGGACGGGACACUUGGUUUUUCACAGAGACAGAAAAAUAAUAACAAUCCUGUCAAUCCAGAAAUGUGGUACAAUGUACAGAAAUGAUGAUUGUGGGUGCCUUUCUCCUGCCUAAGAGGAUUGCGCUAAUUAAACACGGAGAGAUUAUCAAACUUUGUCUAGAGCUGAUAAAAUCCGGCAACAAAUUAAAAUGGCAUGUGGAAGCUAAUCCACGGCAAACCGG
Long non-coding RNA from Anolis carolinensis (green anole), 736 nucleotides. RefSeq lists it as uncharacterized. NCBI's taxonomy places the organism in Eukaryota, Metazoa, Chordata, Lepidosauria, Squamata, Anolidae. The record is from RefSeq and is a predicted model, not a curated record. The transcript is spliced from 3 exons.